Molecule: non-coding RNA, 690 nt
Organism: Paramormyrops kingsleyae
Lineage: Eukaryota; Metazoa; Chordata; Actinopteri; Osteoglossiformes; Mormyridae
Source: RefSeq, a predicted model, not a curated record
GUUAACGGUGUUCGCUCAUAAAGCCGAAGUUUGUGCGCAAGUGAUACUAGACGCAGCAGCAGCAUCAACAGAAAAAAAUUGAGAACAUCAGUAUCUCUCCUCCAUAAGAUCUGGGCUCAGUGACACACAGACGUAUGGAUCCUCUGAUGCUCCUGAUUCUUCUCUUUGCUGGGCGCACAGGUGCUGACAUUGUGUCCUCAGUGAGAUUGGUGUCUGUACAGAGAGGAGGAUCUGUCACCAUCUCAUGUUCCUAUCAAAGCAGAUAUGAAUCUCAUGUGAAAUACUGGUGCAGAGGAAGUGACUGGAAUUCAUGUCGUACAAUAGUUCGCACUGACUUCCCACAGAAGAAGGAUGAAGUGUCAAUCAGUGAUGAUUCUGACCAGCAAGUCUUCACUGUGAUUAUGAACAACCUGAAAACUGGGGGCUCAGAUACCUACUGGUGUGGUGUGGAAAUAUCAGGUCCAGAUGUUGGACAAAAAGUUUCCCUGUCAAUCACUGAUGGUAAGAUGUCUAUACUGCAGACUGUAGCCAAUGGGAUGCACAGUAUGUAAAAUGUCAUUCUGAUUCUUCUGAUUCUUUAUUAUUAUUUGUCACAUGCAUAGUUAUACAGGUACAACAUGCAGUGAAAUGUAUCCUGAUCAACCCGACCAUACAUAUACACAUACAUCACAUUAUAGGGGGUAGACAGGG